UCCCAUGUCAGCCUGUUUAUACCCAGUCAGGCCACAAAACCUUGCUGCCCUCACAGAAAAAAGAGAAUGGGCUUUAUGAAAUAAUUUCCAUGGUUAACCUGUGUUCUCACAAAUGAUGGUGCUACUUCACUCCUAAAAUAGAAUGAACACGUCUGGUACAUGCCCGUGGCUGUCAGGGACCAGCCAUGUGCUGGUAGGAACACACUUCUGCUUGUGUUAAGAGUAUGUUUAUGGUUAUGCAUUAUGGCUUUUUUCUCCCAGUUACCUCCCAAACUUGUUUAAAGCCCUUAUGAGGAAAAGUGGCUUUGCCUCUUUUAAGAGACAGUGUAUGAGAUACUGCCAAAAGAAGACACUUGCAGAAUUUCAGCAUCUUGCCUUCUGUUUGAAACUUCUGCCUGCUGCUUUCUCAGUGUCAUACUGAUGAAAUGGAAAAACCCAAGAGCAGAUUUUGUCCUGUGGAGGAGGUGGGGUAAAAUUCCUGACUGCUGUCACAGGAAAGGUUGUUAUUCUCAUUAAAU
Molecule: long non-coding RNA, 518 nt
Filed under: Cyanistes caeruleus (blue tit)
Lineage: Eukaryota; Metazoa; Chordata; Aves; Passeriformes; Paridae
Description: lncRNA (ENSCCEG00000023846.1)
Source: RNAcentral